GGCCCAUUAGCUCGGUUAGUUGGGCGUCGUGCUAAUAACGCGAAGGUCGCGAGUUCGAGACACAUGGGCCU
Non-coding RNA from Datura stramonium (jimsonweed), 71 nucleotides. The record is from the annotation of a GenBank genome assembly. Lineage: Eukaryota; Viridiplantae; Streptophyta; Magnoliopsida; Solanales; Solanaceae.